UUGCAGUCAAUUAAGCCAACAGUGCUCUUUUCUCCGUGAGGGCCCAGUGUGCAAUGGCUGCAAACAGCAGCCUCUUCGGUACUGUAUACAGGCUUGUCACCUGUUUGGGUUGCUCUAAGGGACCUUGGAGACAGCC
Molecule: small nucleolar RNA, 136 nt
Organism: Hippopotamus amphibius kiboko
Lineage: Eukaryota; Metazoa; Chordata; Mammalia; Artiodactyla; Hippopotamidae
Product: small nucleolar RNA SNORA70
Exons: 1
Source: RefSeq, a predicted model, not a curated record